UACGGGGGGGGCAAGCGUUGUUCGGAAUUACUGGGCGUAAAGGGCUCGUAGGCGGCCAACUAAGUCGGACGUGAAAUCCCCAGGCUCAACCUGGGAACUGCGUCUGAUACUGGAUGGCUUGAAUCCGGGAGAGGGAUGCAGAAUUCCAGGUGUAGCGGUGAAAUGCGCAGAUAUCAGGAGGAACACCGGUGGCGAAGGCGGAUCUCUGGGCCUUGCCUGACGCUGAGGCGCGAAAGCUAGGGGAGCGAACAGG
Molecule: ribosomal RNA, 253 nt
Filed under: uncultured bacterium
Lineage: Bacteria
Description: partial 16S ribosomal RNA
Rfam family: Bacterial small subunit ribosomal RNA
Source: RNAcentral